UACGGAGGGUGCGAGCGUUGUCCGGAAUUAUUGGGCGUAAAGAGCUUGUAGGCGGUUUGUCGCGUCUGCUGUGAAAAUCCGGGGCUCAACCCCGGACUUGCAGUGGGUACGGGCAGACUAGAGUGUGGUAGGGGAGACUGGAAUUCCUGGUGUAGCGGUGAAAUGCGCAGAUAUCAGGAGGAACACCUGCGGCGAAGGCGGGUUGCUGGGCUGACACUGACGCUGAUGCGCGAAAGCCAGGGGAGCGAACGGG
This 253-nucleotide ribosomal RNA is filed under the name uncultured bacterium. RNAcentral describes it as "partial 16S ribosomal RNA". It matches the Rfam family "Bacterial small subunit ribosomal RNA", at positions 524 to 776 of the family's 1533-position model. The record is from RNAcentral.